This 253-nucleotide ribosomal RNA is filed under the name uncultured bacterium. RNAcentral describes it as "partial 16S ribosomal RNA". It matches the Rfam family "Bacterial small subunit ribosomal RNA", at positions 524 to 776 of the family's 1533-position model. The record is from RNAcentral.
AACGUAGGACGCAAGCGUUAUCCGGAGUUACUGGGCGUAAAGCGCGGGCAGGCGGUCUUGCCAGUCUGAUGUGAAAUCUCCUCGCUCAACGGGGAGCAACCAUUGGAAACUACAAGACUGGAGUCUGGCAGAGGUAGGCGGAAUUCCGGGUGGAGUGGUGAAAUGCGUAGAGAUCCGGAGGAACACCAGAGGCGAAGGCGGCCUACUGGGCCAGUACUGACGCUGAGCCGCGAAAGCCAGGGGAGCGAACGGG